GGGUGAGUAACGCGUGGGCAACCUGCCUUGCACAGGGGGAUAGCAGUUGGAAACGACUGGUAAUACCGCAUACCUUGGAGAGACCGCAUGAUCACUUCAAGAAAACAAUAGUGGUGCAAGAUGGGCCCGCGUCCGAUUAGAUAGUUGGUGGGGUAACGGCCUACCAAGUCGACGAUCGGUAGCCGACCUAAGAGGGCGGACGGCCACAUUGGGACUGAGACACGGCCCAGACUCC
RNAcentral lists this ribosomal RNA (235 nucleotides) under uncultured Howardella sp. Its description in RNAcentral is "partial 16S ribosomal RNA". It matches the Rfam family "Bacterial small subunit ribosomal RNA", at positions 104 to 339 of the family's 1533-position model. The record is from RNAcentral. Lineage: Bacteria; Bacillati; Bacillota; Clostridia; Eubacteriales.